UACGGGGGGUGCAAGCGUUAUUCGGAAUUAUUGGGCGUAAAGAGCGCGUAGGCGGUCUUUUAAGUCAGAUGUGAAAGCCCGGGGCUCAACCCCGGAAGUGCAUUUGAAACUAAGGGACUUGAGUAUGGGAGAGGGAAGUGGAAUUCCUGGUGUAGAGGUGAAAUUCGUAGAUAUCAGGAGGAACACCGGUGGCGAAGGCGACUUCCUGGACCAAUACUGACGCUGAGGCGCGAAGGCGUGGGGAGCAAACAGG
Molecule: ribosomal RNA, 253 nt
Filed under: uncultured bacterium
Lineage: Bacteria
Description: partial 16S ribosomal RNA
Rfam family: Bacterial small subunit ribosomal RNA
Source: RNAcentral